RNAcentral lists this ribosomal RNA (690 nucleotides) under Flavobacterium columnare. RNAcentral's name for it is "bacterial SSU rRNA". It matches the Rfam family "Bacterial small subunit ribosomal RNA", at positions 63 to 752 of the family's 1533-position model. Lineage: Bacteria; Pseudomonadati; Bacteroidota; Flavobacteriia; Flavobacteriales; Flavobacteriaceae. The record is from RNAcentral.
CGAGGGGUAGAAGGAGCUUGCUCCUUUGAGACCGGCGCACGGGUGCGUAACGCGUAUGCUAUCUACCUUGUACAGGGGGAUAGCCCAGAGAAAUUUGGAUUAAUACCCCAUAGUAUUUUCAGAUGGCCUCAUUUGAUUAUUAAAGUUCCAACGGUACAAGAUGAGCAUGCGUCCCAUUAGCUAGUUGGUGUGGUAACAGCAUACCAAGGCAACGAUGGGUAGGGGUCCUGAGAGGGAGAUCCCCCACACUGGUACUGAGACACGGACCAGACUCCUACGGGAGGCAGCAGUGAGGAAUAUUGGUCAAUGGGCGCAAGCCUGAACCAGCCAUGCCGCGUGCAGGAUGACGGUCCUAUGGAUUGUAAACUGCUUUUGUACAGGAAGAAACCCUCCCUUGUAAGGGAGCUUGACGGUACUGUAAGAAUAAGGAUCGGCUAACUCCGUGCCAGCAGCCGCGGUAAUACGGAGGAUCCAAGCGUUAUCCGGAAUCAUUGGGUUUAAAGGGUCCGUAGGCGGUUUUAUAAGUCAGUGGUGAAAUCUGGUCGCUCAACGAUCAAACGGCCAUUGAUACUGUAAGACUUGAAUUACUUGGAAGUAACUAGAAUAUGUAGUGUAGCGGUGAAAUGCUUAGAGAUUACAUGGAAUACCGAUUGCGAAGGCAGGUUACUACGAGUAUAUUGACGCUGAUGG